UGAACUGAACUGAACUGAAAAUAAUACUUUAACUAAAGCGGGUUAAAAAUAUUUGGUUAAAUACUUUAGUAAGUGAACUGUGACAUCAUGUGCAUAAAAGGGGAAGUGACGGUGCCUGAUUAUGAAGCAACAAGUGAAAUCCGGUUUGGAUGCCACAGCGUCAUGUUCAUAUCUCAUGUGUGUGUUCACUGUACCAGCCGCUGCUCCAGCUCCACCUGAUCCGACAAGGCUGCAUUCACCUAAGCAGAGCACCACUGAACAUUUCACAAAGGGUCGGACGAGGGGCUUUGCCCAGCGCCUUGGACAAUGGACCGGCUCGCGUGGCACGGCACAGGUAACGAGUACCGGUGCCAACCGUGCAAUCACAGCGACGGCAGAGCUACAGCUGGUCCAACGCCUCUCCUCGCUACCCUCUGGGGAAUGCUUCAUAGUCCCCUGCCUAACGAAUGCGAGCGAGGCGUCUGCAUUCCCCUACCAAGCGGUCAGAAUCCCUUUUGACGAAAUGAGACGCCACCGAGUCACAAACCCGCCCAGAGGGUGCUGCUGGGGCGCGAGCAAAAGUCCCGUCCCUCAGGUUUGCAUAGGUAGGUGAGAAACAAACAAAGCGACCACGUGAGAACGUGGGGCGUGAGAACGGCCAAUCAUCUUAAAAGCAAUCAGCUACAAUCUACGAAGAGGAGAGGGAUCGCUGAACUUUUCCCCCAAUCCCCCAACAACAGAUGAGCCAAAGACACAAAAACACAGAGCCACAACCAGAGAGAGAGAAGAAGUCAUCUAAAAAAAAUCAUCUGGAGGCAACAGUUAUAAAUAUAUACCAACUAAAGAUACGCACGUGUACGCAAUCACCAAAGGGACAUUCACAAACAAUUAAAAAAAAAAAA
This is a long non-coding RNA of Larimichthys crocea (large yellow croaker), 881 nucleotides long. RefSeq lists it as uncharacterized. The transcript has 2 exons. NCBI's taxonomy places the organism in Eukaryota, Metazoa, Chordata, Actinopteri, Sciaenidae. The record is from RefSeq and is a predicted model, not a curated record.